GGUUGACGAGGAGAAGGAAUAGGAAAGAAAGAAUAGGAGAGCGCAAGGAUCGGUGUGUUGGUAAGAAGGGGACGCAGGAGAGGGAGGGCACCAGAUGGAGGUUUAUUUGUCGAGCGGCCGCCACCUUCUCCACACACCGCUCGCUCGCUGGGGCCUCCUCGUGUUUGCUUCUACGUCUCCACGCAUCUUCUGCUGACAGCCGCUCGCCUCCACACCACGAAGGUCGAUGUUGCCGUCGGACACCUACGACCGUUCUCACUGGUCGUUUAACUCCCGCUCUAUGCUGCGCUCGAGCUGCUGCCCCGCGACGCCGGUAGAGGUGGUCCCAACGGUACCGGCCAUUCGUGCCAGCGGGUUCCUACGCCGCCGCUCGUACCCAACGGCCACUUGUGCUACGGCUCUUGCUCGCACCCCGCCGGUUACUACGCAGCCGUUCUCGUACAACGGCCGCUCGUACUCCGGCACCUGCUCGCGCCCGCCGGGUUCCUACGAAGCCGCUCUCGCCCAACGGCCGUUCGUACUCCGGCUCCUACUCGCGUCCGCCGCGUUCACCUUCCGCUCGUGCCACGAUCUUUUUCGACGUGCUCUGCCACUUUAUGUCCCUGGACGCACUCCCGCUCUACGCAGUCCUCCUUCUAUUACAGGCCUUCUUAGCAAAGGAAAAAGAUAUAUAGGUUGCCGGUCCCGAUCACCGUAGACCGCCGAUCCCACGCUGGCCGGCUUUGAAAGCCGGCCGCGUGGCCGCGGGUCAUAACGGGUUUAUUUUUCCAUGGUUCGCGUAGGCACUUCAAAGACGUAUGUGACUUUUGCUUUUUCCAAACGCAGGAGCCUCGUUGUGGUUAGUCUGAAGUUAGUCCUGUACCAAGAUGUGAUGUCUGGUGUCUGAUGUCUGGACUGUUUUGACAUAGGCAGUACUGCUGCGCGCCGAGGCACAGCUGUGUUAUGGUAGUUGGCUUCGUAGUUACGAUGUCGUCGUACGUACGAUAGGAAUGCGGCGCUUUUUCUUCUGCCUAAGAAGGCACGCACCGUGUUCGAAGUAGGGACCUAGUACCUUAGUCUACGGCUCGAGUCGAGUUUCGCCCUCCUUUUCCGUUUCAAAUGCCUUAGACUACAAGUGGCGGCGUAAAAGAGCCGGCGACAAUUACAAUAGGGCUACGGUAGAAGAAACGGUUGUAAUAGUAGAACCUGUCGAGAGAGUACGGCUGGUCGCGUGCUCCGUCCUGGCAUCCGCGGUUUUCCAGUAGUUUAAGGCACAGGUGAGGAAAUGGUGCUUUGGCACUACGAAGAUCGGUAGGACGUCGAUAUAUAUACGGUGGCGGCCGAACUUGACGACAACGUAACGUGGGUUGCUUUUCAAGUCUGAAAUCUCUUUGGUUGCUCUUCAAGUCUGAAGUCUCUUUGGUUGGUCGGUACCCCCGCCGCGGCAGCUCUGUCCUCCGCAGGUGGCGGAGCAGCGGGUGGCCGCUACCGGCACAGCGCGGCUGCCGCGAGUCGCGAAGAUGAUGAAGACUGUGGCGGUUGGUCCGCGUCAGGUUCUCCCGCGGCCGAGGAGUGUACAAGGCCCUCUAGCAGCGGCCCCUCUUACAGCGGCUGCAUCGGCGCGACCUUCUAGUCCAGACGUUCCCCUAGAAGAACCGGCCCUUUUGUUUCUUCAUGACCCACCUACUUUUUUGGUCCGUGUUGACGAAGUACGACAAGGGGUCUCCGGAUGUGUAGUGGACCUCGCUUCUGGGGUUCAUGACCUGAACCGUGGGGGACGCUCUUCCUUCGCUGCGGCUUCGGCCUUAGCUCUGCCACCGCGACGUCUUGCAGACGACCGACCUCCAGGUUCCCUUCGACCUCGACAGGGUAGAGUGUGGUCCUCGGUGGAUACUCCAAAAGAAGCUCCACUCCGAGCUGCUGGGCCGAAUGCCUACCAGCUACGGCCACUUGGAGGCCGAGUUCAAGGGACUACCGUGCUAGGUCGUCGUGUUCCUCUUGGACCUCCUCUUCGGGUCCCCCUUCACCGACGACCAGUUCCAACCCCUCCAAUUCGGUGUGUUCCCCGUCUUACCUCUCCGACUCUAGAGGUACAAACUCAUACUACCACCCGUCACCUUCUCCCCCGAGGAGUAGUUCCCGUAGUUCUAGUAGGGUUUUCUUACUUACUAGACUAACACGAAACAAUGCUUGUUAGCGACCGACAACAAACAGCCGAUGCGAUUCUAGUCAAACUACGUACCCUUAUUAUAGUUCUCAAAACUUACUUAGACUCUAGUGAAAGGAACCAA
This 2270-nucleotide ribosomal RNA is filed under the name Triticum aestivum (bread wheat). RNAcentral's name for it is "partial small subunit ribosomal RNA". The record is from RNAcentral. Lineage: Eukaryota; Viridiplantae; Streptophyta; Magnoliopsida; Poales; Poaceae.